AUACCAAAUUUUAAUUGAUUUGCAAAUAAAGGGCUAGCGAAAGUAGUCUUCACUCUUCAGGCUUUUCCCCAAACCACUAUUGUGCUCAAACCCUCGCUGCCUCACACUCACAGAAAUCGGCGGAUCCAAGAAUUCUGCAACCGGCAAGCGGAAAUCGGAAACAAGACAAUGGAGACACCUAAUGGGAUGUUUGAGGUAUUGCCCGUUGAUUACAAGAAUUGGUCAUCCAUAGUAAUUUUUUUUAUGGAAAAUUUUGAAGACAUCAGUGUGUAUGCUUUUGACUAUGACGAGUGAUGUACUAUGUUGUGUCCUACAAAUGGCCACAGUGUCUUUUGUUGAGUCUGGGAUAUACUACUGGUGGCUUUAAUGUGUACUUUGUUGGUGAGCCCAAAUAUGAUGAGCAAUUUAAUCCCAUAGCUCACUCACAGGAAGUCAAAGUUUAUGAUAUUUGCAAUAGGGUAUGGUGGGAAGACUUGCCAAAGUUGAAAGCUCCCAUGCCCAAUCCGUUUGUGUUUUUCCUUAAUGGGCUGCUUUAUGUGCUUUCUACUGGUAUGUUAUAUGAGCAACCACACUUCGAGAUGCUGGAUAUCAAUAAUCUUUCUCGAGGAUGGGUUUCGCUAUCUAAUCCCUCUUUUAUUAGCAACCAUGUAAUACCCUCAAACCACACUACCAUUAUUGACUACUCCAAGAAGAUGCUAUACGUAAGGUUGGUUGAAUGGUCUUAUUGUGAUUGCUCGUCAGAUCUUUAUGGUUACAGCGUGCAUGAUCACAAGUGGCACGCUUUCCGAAUUUUCAUGUCCGAAGAAAACAUAACCUCUUCUGUCCCUAUGCCUGAUGACGAGCCGAGUCCUUUGACAUAUGAUGACUAUUCGAGUCCCACGUCUGAAUCCUCAAACCAAUCAGAACAUGAUGACGAGCGGAGUCCUUUGACAUAUCAUGACGAGCCGAGUCCUUUGACAGCUCGCACGGGUAAUCUAUUGAAAGCCAGUUGGUCGAAUGGAUGUGUAAUUGUAGACAAUCACUUGUACAGAUUUCAGAUGUUACGGUACCCUAAAGAAGAACUACGUGCUAUUCUGAUCAUUCGUGAUUUGGAGCAUGAAAUAGAGGUAUACAAUAAUGCAGUCGAGCUCGAUUAUGUGGAUGCUAUGCAUUUUCCCGAUGAUCCACCCAUCGGAGGGUGCUGGGAGGUUGAUAUCUCUCACAUUGUUCAGGAAGAUGUGCUUCGUGAUCUCUAUUCUUGUGGCAAGCUAGUUUAUAUAGGCAAGAGUAAUUCAUGCCUGAGGUUUUCUUUGGUUAUCUCGUACGCUUGUAGGUUUCGUCCUAAAAUUACUAAUCAUGUGUGUACAUGCACGUUUGACUUGGAAGUGAAAUGCGAUAAAGCAACUGCAGUUGGAGAGAGUUCAACUGUAUCAUUCAUUGCCAAACCCAUUUCCUGCAAAUCCCACAAUAUAAAUAUGGAUACAUGCCUGUUUUCUUGCAAGGAGUUAUGUAAGUUUCUCCCCCUUCCACUUGUAAUUGCUUGGUGGCCCGACGACAUUUAAAGUUUGUUUGUUAUAUAUAAUAGUGUUUUCAACACUUAAACGAGUCCAUCUAAUUGUUUUGUGACUAGAAUUACAUAAAUAAGCAGAUUCUUACAUUCCUUUUCUGGACAACACACUUGUGACCUCUAGAUCAUUCUUCUUUUUUUGGUUAAAAGGAAAGUUUUCAUUUAACCAAAUAUCAGUAUGUACAUAUGACUCAGUUUGACUCAUGAGUCAAAUCUCAAGUGAAUCAGGACUGUGACACCUAUAGAGCUAACUUUAGACCACUAAAACUGUCCAUAACUAUAAUGACCUUUAGAUCAUUCUUAUCAAAGAGGGGAGGGUAUUUGUUCUCUGUGAACUAGUCCAUUGUUAGUUCUUCCUCAAUUAUCAGUUGCCCUGGUGCUUACCAAGUUUUCAGUUAGUAUUGGAUUUUUUUGCUCUAAUGGUUUAAGUAUGACUCCUAAUCUUGAUCUUCAUUUUCCUCGAUGAGGGUGUGACCUCCUUGUUUAUCACUAUUAGGAUGUUAGAAGUUAAAUUAUCUAAGGUAGAAUCUGUAAUGCUUCUAAAUGUCUGAAAUAUAUCUGUAUUUAUCUUUGUUGUUGUGGUCAUUAUCAUCAUUAGCGUUCCCGACUGCUCAUUUGUUUGUUACUUUUUGGCCACAAGUGAAGUCAAAGAUAAUUGAACUGUCUAAUUGGCAGCAAAAAUCUAUCUGUUUCGUAAGCCUCUUCUUAGAUUCAUGUACUUUUAGAACCAUGAUGUCUUUCCUGUUAAUGAACUGUGAUUUCUUUAGGAGUCUAUUUUUUCCAUUCUAAUAAUCUAAAAGGACAUUGUUCCAAGAUGAAAUGUUAGCUUCUAGCUUAUUCGACUUUGAUUCAACCAUAAGCUACUUUCUACUAUCUGCGGUUCAUCGUUCUCCUCUGAAAGUGAAAGAUGCAUAUUCUUUGAAUAUUGUAGGGCAAGAUAGGACUAGAUAAGGAUUCAUGAACGAAAUUCCUGUUUCAAGUUGUACGGAUAUCUCAUCUUUUGCAGAUUUAAGUAAUUUUUGAAUUUCUAAGGAUUCAUGAUUUUCUUUCUUGGGUUUCCUGGCAAACCCUCCCUCUGAUAUUUAACAAUCUAAACUUUGAACUUUGAGAAGUUUCCAAGUGAUUUUGGAAAAGGAAAAAUUCUACCAUAUGUCGAUUGGAUCAUCUCGGUUUACACUUUCUCUCUUUUUCCGUUUCCUGUGGCAGUGAUAGGUUGCGGUUACUUUUUAACCUACUAUCCGCGUCAUGAAUAAUCCAGGCACAUGAUCCAUUCUUCUCUCUUCAGUGUGCAACCUUUGUUCUUUUAUAGUCUAUUUUCUACGGAGAUGCUUUAGAGUUGGAUUUUCGAGUGAAAAAUGCCUUGAACAGUUUCUCCUUUUCCUUUUAGCGGGUACAAGAGUUCAGUUCUCUCCAAAGCGGUGGAUAUUUGGUUUUAACUGAUCGCCCCACCCCAACCAACUCUUCAGAAAAAUGAAUUACAAAAUUCAGUGAUUGAAAUAAGGCGAUUAAAAAAAAACCUAAGAACGAGCAAGGAGGAUUGGUUUUCCACCUUAAGUACCGAGCAUUUAGGGGUCUAGCCUGAUGCUUUAGAGUUGGAUUUUCAAGGCUGUAGUCUUGUUGGCUUGUCGACUCUCAUUCUGUUUGGCCCUUUCAGUCUACAAACUAAACUUUAUAGUGAUUUUCUUGUCUAUUAAUUCCCCAUGGAAACUCUUAGUGUUGUGAUGCGGAAAUAAAACUGGGUAUGCUCCUGAAGUUAGUUUGCGGCAGCCUAUAGACAAUUAGUAACAUUCAUUUUGAUAUGUUCUUUUUCUAUUAUUGGAUCUUUGGCCCGCCAAGAUGCGAUGAGAAGUUUUUGUACUAGUUACAUGUCUUGGUUUGUCGGUUCCAAUGACCAUCAAAAUAGCGCAAGAUUGUUUUAGGCUUUCAACUUUUGCUGGUAAAUGGAGUUGGCCUGCAUCAGGUGAGUUUUCAGCUAGCUUAAAUAAGAAGAACAACGUCAUCAAUGACUUCCAGGGUUUCACUAACAUGAAGGACUUGUUCUUGACAAAAAAUCUCUAUAUGUGCUAACGGUGUGUGGAUGUUUUUUAUGAUGCAUUUACGGUGAUCAGCAACUAUUAUUUUUCCAUUUUUCUGUCAGGUUUUUGAAAUAUCUAGCUGUCAGUAAUUGUUGAAUAGUUAAAUAUGCUAUGAAACAACUGAAUCAAAUUGUCCGAUUCUUGCUUAGCUUAUAAUUUGGCCUUUCUCAUCAGUAGCUAUUCUAAUUUAAUCAUAUUUUGGGCUAUUCUAAUACUGUGUAUUUUGAUCAGAUGGCAAUGAUGAUUUAUGAUGUCAGAAGGUUCAACCCAAGAAUUGUCCAUGGAGGCUAACAUAAUGUAUGAAAAGCAGAAAAUUGUAUGAACUCCUAAGAACAAAUAUCUAUUUUCUUUUUGACUUUACCCUAAUCUCCCCAUUUGUUAGACUGGGUCGUUUCUACUUUCACUGAAUUCUAGCUCCCUUUACAGUAUUUAUUCAGUGGUAAUUACUUGUUGAAUGCCUCUGUAAGUCAUUGUGCUCGUUAUAUGUGACCAAAAUAUGUGCAAGGCCAAGAUGCAUCACAUAUAUAAUCAAUUUAUGUGACUAAAAUAUGUGCAAGGCCAAGAUGCGUCACACAUAGUACUCUUCUAUUAUUAUUUUUAGAAAGGUGGAUAUUUGAUAUUUAUAUAUCGGUGAGUUAACAAGGAGCAUGAAUUUACUUAUAUGCAUCCUUUAUUCACAAUAAACAGAGUAAAUUGCCAUUUGGAGUUACAAACUAAGGCAAGUGGAGAGAAAAUGUGUAUGAAAGACAUGUUUUGUAUAUCCUUGUUUGGUGCAAACACUAGAUAUUGAAACAAUUUUAAUUAUAUUGAAA
Molecule: long non-coding RNA, 4433 nt
Filed under: Nicotiana tabacum (common tobacco)
Lineage: Eukaryota; Viridiplantae; Streptophyta; Magnoliopsida; Solanales; Solanaceae
Description: long non-coding RNA (NTAB_LNC013932)
Source: RNAcentral